UUACUUGCCCUCCAAGGGUGGUAACCUUCUUUUAAACUUACCACAGAGAUAAAUGACAGAACA
This 63-nucleotide non-coding RNA is filed under the name Paramoeba aestuarina. Lineage: Eukaryota; Discosea; Flabellinia; Dactylopodida; Paramoebidae. The record is from RNAcentral.